Molecule: ribosomal RNA, 497 nt
Filed under: uncultured bacterium
Lineage: Bacteria
Description: partial 16S ribosomal RNA
Rfam family: Bacterial small subunit ribosomal RNA
Source: RNAcentral
GACGAACGCUGGCGGCGUGCCUAAUACAUGCAAGUAGAACGCUGAAGAGAGGAGCUUGCUCUUCUUGGAUGAGUUGCGAACGGGUGAGUAACGCGUAGGUAACCUGCCUUGUAGCGGGGGAUAACUAUUGGAAACGAUAGCUAAUACCGCAUAACAAUGGAUGACACGUGUCAUUUAUUUGAAAGGGGCAAUUGCUCCACUACAAGAUGGACCUGCGUUGUAUUAGCUAGUAGGUGAGGUAAUGGCUCACCUAGGCGACGAUACAUAGCCGACCUGAGAGGGUGAUCGGCCACACUGGGACUGAGACACGGCCCAGACUCCUACGGGAGGGAGCAGUAGGGAAUCUUCGGCAAUGGGGGCAACCCUGACCGAGCAAAGCCGCGUGAGUGAAGAAGAUUUUCGGAUCGUAAAGCUCUGUUGUAAGUCAAGAACGGGUGUGAGAGUGGAAAGUUCACACUGUGACGGUAGCUUACCAGAAAGGGACGGCUAACUACGUG